This 484-nucleotide ribosomal RNA is filed under the name uncultured bacterium. RNAcentral's name for it is "partial 16S ribosomal RNA". It matches the Rfam family "Bacterial small subunit ribosomal RNA", at positions 30 to 507 of the family's 1533-position model. The record is from RNAcentral.
AUUGAACGCUGGCGGCAGGCCUAACACAUGCAAGUCGAGCGGAUGAAGGGAGCUUGCUCCUGGAUUCAGCGGCGGACGGGUGAGUAAUGCCUAGGAAUCUGCCUGGUAGUGGGGGAUAACGUCCUGAAACGGGCGCUAAUACCGCAUACGUCCUGAGGGAGAAAGUGGGGGAUCUUCGGACCUCACGCUAUCAGAUGAGCCUAGGUCGGAUUAGCUAGUUGGUGGGGUAAAGGCCUACCAAGGCGACGAUCCGUAACUGGUCUGAGAGGAUGAUCAGUCACACUGGAACUGAGACACGGUCCAGACUACUACGGGAGGCAGCAGUGGGGAAUAUUGGACAGUGGGGGAAAGCCUGAUACAGCCAUGCCGCGUGUGUGAAGAAGGUCUUCGGAUUGUAAAGCACUUUAAGUUGGGAGGAAGGGCAGUAAGUUAAUACCUUGCUGUUUUGACGUUACCAACAGAAUAAGCACCGGCUAACUUCGUG